CCCUUAGAUGUUCUGGGCCGCACGCGCGCUACACUGAUGCAUUCAACGAGUUCCUACCUUGGCCGAGAGGCCUGGGCAAUCUUUUGAACUUGCAUCGUGAUAGGGAUAGAUUAUUGCAAUUAUUAAUCUUGAACGAGGAAUUCCUAGUAAACGCAGAUCAUCAAUCUGCAUUGAUUACGUCCCUGCCCUUUGUACACACCGCCCGUCGCACCUACCGAUUGAAUGGUCCGGUGAAGCCUCGGGAUUGUGGUUAGUUUCCUUCAUUGGAAGUUAGCCGCGAGAACUUGUCUAAACCUUAUCAUCUAGAGGAAGGUGAAGUCGUAACA
This 326-nucleotide ribosomal RNA is filed under the name uncultured eukaryote. Its description in RNAcentral is "partial 18S ribosomal RNA". It matches the Rfam family "Eukaryotic small subunit ribosomal RNA", at positions 1470 to 1796 of the family's 1831-position model. The record is from RNAcentral.